RNAcentral lists this long non-coding RNA (738 nucleotides) under Polistes fuscatus (common paper wasp). RNAcentral's name for it is "uncharacterized LOC122516648". The record is from RNAcentral. Lineage: Eukaryota; Metazoa; Arthropoda; Insecta; Hymenoptera; Vespidae.
AGUGUGUUUAUACGAGCAUUGUUAAUAAGUUUGUUCAGUUUGAUCGAAUCAAUAAGUCAGUUUCAGACUAAGUUACUCGCAAUUUACAAUAUUUCAAGAUUAAAACUUCAGGUGCGUAAAGGGAAAACGUGGGACCAUGUAAAUCAUAGGAAAAGUGUGACAGAGCGAUAACGAGAAUCGGAAUACCAAGGAAGGAUGAUAGGGAGAAUAGGACCGAAACGGAGGGUGACUCGAAAAGAUGAGCGGUAGAAAGAGGAAGGGAACGAAGGAAAGGAAAGGGAAGAAAGGAAGGAAGGAAGGAAGGAAGGAAACAAGGAGCAAAAGAGAAGAGAUAGGAACGGAAUGGCAUUUGCACUGGCUCCCGGCCAAAUCCCACCUCAUCAAAAUGUCGGAAAGACGGCUCCGGACGACGACGACGACGAGGAGGACGAGAGUAGGAGGCAACACGGUCUGAAUGUCAUCCCUUGAGGAACUGUCCCUACGAGAUCUCUGGCUACUAGUAGAGAAAAGAGGAAAAUAAGACACGAGGUAUUCGCGGAGUGGCUUUGGGAUACUUUUUUUUUUUGCCUGAUGUAAGAUAGAAAAAAAAAAGAAAAAAAGAAGAUACGACAAAUACGAUAGAAAUAAGGAAGUCAUCACUCACGUGACCACCAUUAACGUCCCCAUACCAUGUCCUUUUUUCGUUAUAUUUAUAACCAGUCUUGAGACUAUUAAAUGGCCAUAGGAGUGAAACACCAA